GCAUUUGCUUUGGUAGUCCAUAUACUAAAAUUGGAAUGAUACAGAGAAGAGUAGCAUACCAGAUGUGUAAGGAUGACACAGAAAUUCAUGUAGAGUUCCACAAUUUA
This is a small nuclear RNA of Octodon degus (degu), 107 nucleotides long. Lineage: Eukaryota; Metazoa; Chordata; Mammalia; Rodentia; Octodontidae. The record is from Ensembl.